This 253-nucleotide ribosomal RNA is filed under the name uncultured bacterium. RNAcentral describes it as "partial 16S ribosomal RNA". It matches the Rfam family "Bacterial small subunit ribosomal RNA", at positions 524 to 776 of the family's 1533-position model. The record is from RNAcentral.
UACGUAGGGUGCGAGCGUUAAUCGGAAUUACUGGGCGUAAAGCGUGCGCAGGCGGUUUUGUAAGCCGGAUGUGAAAUCCCCGGGCUUAACCUGGGAAUGGCAUUCGGGACUGCAAGGCUGGAGUGCGGCAGAGGAGACUGGAAUUCCUGGUGUAGCAGUGAAAUGCGUAGAUAUCAGGAGGAACACCGAUGGCGAAGGCAGGUCUCUGGGCUGACACUGACGCUGAUGCGCGAAAGCCAGGGGAGCGAACGGG